This is a non-coding RNA of Struthio camelus australis, 5426 nucleotides long. Lineage: Eukaryota; Metazoa; Chordata; Aves; Struthioniformes; Struthionidae. The record is from RefSeq and is a predicted model, not a curated record.
GCCGGUGUCCCGGCGGCGGUGACACGCCACGCGCGCCGCUGCGCGCUCCCUCGCUCGCUCGAGACUUGGGUUUGUCCAGCCGCUUUCCCCGGGCUCGGCAGGUGGUAGAUGAAACGUGCUUCGUUUGCUUCGCGCCCCGUCCAGCUCGUCCCUUCGCGCAGAGCCACCGGCGUUUCCGUGGACUCGUUAACCUCGCCGUCACCUCAGGUGGUCGGGGGGAGACUUGAGGGCUCGCAAAAGUCCGCGUGACUUGUUCGAAGUACUUGGUGCUAGCAAAAAAGACGAGGAUUGCUGGGAAACCGCGAUGCUUUGCAGGGUAGGGUGGGGAUUUUCUUGUCUUGUUUUACCCGCAUCAUUUGUAUUGACACCUAAGCAUGAAUUCUGUGAGAGUGUUUGUGAGUUGGGAGAGAGGUCAAGGUGGAUCCGGCUUAAGGUAACAACAAAUGUAACUUGCAGUUGGUAGCACAGGUAUUUUGCAACAGACAAAUAUUUUUGUGCUGAUUUAGGGCCUCAUAGGAUUUAGCUGUUGGAGCCACUGGAUUUCUGCUUUGUCUGUAGCGUGGUUCUGCCCUUGGACAAGUCAACACUGUUCUGUGGCACUGGCUUCACCAGGACAAAAGUUAGGGUGUGAACAAAAGUGGUCCUUGGGCUGAGGCUUCAUAAAAGAAGGUUUGGUCUGACGGUUUUAAUGGCACAGGCGAAGACCUUUGGAAAAGAGCUUUUAUCAUGGAAACCAAGUGUCUGUAAGAAUUAACUAAACCAGCAUCAUUUAGAAAAAAAAAGUUUCUGAGAAUGCAGAAAGACUUUCUUCUUCGUUUCCGCUCAAGUGAGAACAAGUUAGGGAAGUGCUGGCAAAAAAAAGUGCAAUGAAAGAGGGAUCCAUCCAGUGAAAAAAAUGAGACAAGUUCCUGAUUUUUAUUUUAUUUUAUUUUUUCAGUCCACUACUGAAGAAAUAGCAUGACUGUUUCAAGUUUCCUUUUAUUAUGCUUCAGGCUUUCUUGGAAAAAAAACAUUUUCUUUGUGUCUUAUUUUUCCUUCUCUGUAAUGUGGGGAUACUUUGUAUAAAACUCUGUUCAAUGAAGUUUGAGUAAACAUGGUUUAAGAAACGUUUUUCAGAAUUCUACACAGAAGGCAGCGUGUUAAUGAAAAACAUUUUUUAAAUGAACAUAGCAUUACAAUAACAAUGUCUGGUCUUCCUAUGUUUCUCAUUAAGAGUUCCUACAUUUCUGUACAUGUAGUUUGUUCUCUGGGCUACACGAGCUAGCAGUACUGUUUGUUGUUGUUGGCUGUCCCGCUCUGUUCCAGGGAUGGCACACUUUUCUCUCUCUGGUGUUGUUGUAGUACUGUCACCACUGCCAACCCACAGCUAUCAGGGCUGUGUUUGGCUGUGGUGCCAGUUGUUUGCCAUCACUGCCUUAUUUCGUGUCGUAUCCAUAAUGGCUAUUAGUAGUGCUCCGUCGUGUUGGGAAAAGAAUGUGUACUUCAUCUGUUUGGUGUCGAAUACGUGUAUCGGAAGGUAAUAAAGCAACAGUGUCAUCACACAUACUGGUUUCUCAAUCUGACAGUGCACCUCCCAUUAAUUGUCUUUAGCAUGCAAUUAUAGUGUUUCCGGUAUGUGUCAAAACUGCUCUCUCUUCCAGAGUUUAGUGUAGGAUGCUCUCUCCCUUUUCAUCUAUACAAUAUCAGGCAGGCCGGUGAAGCCUAGUAGUGAAGUUGCACACAUUUUUGCUGGUCUGUAAUAAACUGGUCGGUAUCUAUUUGUAAACCUUCCACAACUUGUAUACUAUUUUUAAAAAAGUUUUCUGCAAUCUUUUGCAGUACCCAUUUUUUUCCCAGUUUUCUGUUGUCAAAUGUGUUUUCUGUUCUGCCAAAACUAUUUGUUGUACUUGUGGUGUAUUUAGGACAGGAUUUGGUUUUCUUUUUUAAAGAUGCAUUGUACAUUGUCCCUUUUUGUGAAAAGAAUACUUAAGAGUAUUCAUUAGGUUUAUCCUUUGACGUUCUCUAGGUAACCAAGCCAUUCUUCAUAUAAAUUGGCAAAUUUCUUUGUAUUUCUUUUCUGAAGCAUUAAUCAUCUUAUUAUUGUUAUGAAGAUAGGCUGAUGUCAUCACAGAUAAGUGCUUUUUCUAUGGCUGUGAUACUUUAUCUUGUUAGCCUAAAGAUUCCCCUACAGAGUUUAAGCAAUGAAAAAUAAUUAUGUGGUUAGCAAAGAGCAACAAUUCCAGUUUUUUGUAUACAUAUUACAUAUUUUGUAACUGAGUAUUCAGCUAUUCUUACUGCUGUUGGUCAUCCAGGCCUGUGAAUGUAUUUGACAUUAAAGGAGUCUUACUGUUGAACUAGGACUUAAAAAAAACUUUCAGCAAUAUUUGACUGGCUCUACCCUAUCCAAGGGGAGGAAAAAAAACAAGAAAUGUGCUUCCAGGUUUUGUACCUUACACUAUGGUUAGGUUUUGAUUCAGAGAAAGUGCCUCAAAGGAACAGAACGUAUUUCUUUUUUACACUCAAAAUAAGAAGCACCUACUGUAGAAAGGGCAUGUUGUACUAAACCUGCUGCGGUAGAGGUGAGUGUUCUCAAGUCUGACAGUUUAAGUAGUGAAGAUGAAAGUGAGGACAGUUCUUGGGCAGGGGACUUAAAGAGGAAUGUGAUUCAUAGGACAUAGUUACCAGCGUAAUUACCAGUGCAGCUGCUAUAGUAACUUCUGCCAGUACUAAAAAAAAAUCUGUCAUGUCCAGUGCUCUGUCGGUUGUAGCGUAAGUGAUAGAGAAAAGCAGAAGCAUAAUAUCUUGUUCCAAACUUGCCAACUUCAAACCGGUGUAAACAGAUGGGGCUAUUUCUGUUAAGUUUUAUAUCAAAGCUUCACAGGGUUUCCUUAAGUGUUGGGUUGCACUAAAAUUUUGGAAUUAGAGAUGGUAAGUUUUUUUGUUUGUGUUUUGCAUAAAUAGUAAUGAAAGCAGAGAUUCAGGUGGACUGAAUUUUUCUGAUAAUGAGUCAAAUCUGGCAAAUUCAGGCAAGAAAUAAAAAACCUAAAUUUAAUUUAAAACUUAAACCUAAUGUACAUUUAUUUCUGUAUUGUGAUAAGUAGGAAUUUUCAACUUUUCUUUGUGAUGAUAUUUUCUAUUUGUCACUUCCUUAAAAUGUAGGUCAAAUUUUUGAAGUAGUAAUAUUUUUUCCAGUUUUGAGUGAAACAUUUCAGAUCUGUUCCAAAAUGGAAUUUGGGGGUAAGAAGAUCUUGGAAAAAAAUGGGGGUGAGGGAAUAAUCUGCUAGACCCAGGCUUCUUUCAUGCACAUUUCUAGUUCAAAUGAGAAAAAAUAUUGGGGGGACAGUUUUGAAAUACUCACCAUAAAAAAAUUUUUCUUAUUUUCUCACAUUAACAUAUCAUGCAUCAUCAGAACUCACUUUUCCAGCACGCAAAUGAUAAACGCAAUUUCUACUUGAAGUGAAUUGCCAAAGUUUAUACAACAGGCUAGCAUCAAAGAUGGAUCUAGAACGCAGGAACCCUGAAAUUUAUAGGCAGAGCAGAUCUAUUUAACUCUCUAGCCCCUACAACUGCAUUAACAUCAUAAAAUUUCAUCUUUGCAGUAGAAAUAAUUGUUCUGCCCCAUGUAAGAAAAUGCUUGGCUUCCUUCCUAGCCAUUUAGAGUAUCAUCUACACACAGACACACGUGUGCGUGUGGGGAAGCCUCCUUGAUUUCAUUGUCUUCCUCAUGCUUUUAAAGGAAUUGCAAGAUCUUUCUGCACAUAACUUUUCACUUGGCUGUCACUUUAUUUUUGUCAUCUCCACCUCCUGUUUCUUAAGAACUCACCCCCUUUAGUUUGUUUGGCAUUCUUGAGUAAAGGCUUUGGUGGCUUGAUUCAGGAGAGGUAAAUAGGAGUCAGAAGUUCACGUAUAGCGAGAUAUCACAAGAUUGUUACUUAUUUCAUUAAAAUAGUCUGUAAGCAUUCCUGACUUCUUUCUGCCAUUGAUUGCUACGGUACAAUUCUUACAGGCUUAAAUUCAGGCAGAAUAUGGGUCCUACAGUAAAUCUCUAGGGCUGAGCUGUACUGUAGAGAAAGAAGACGCCCUAUACUCCCCCAAACACUUCCUGACUGCGGACACAAUGGUGGUAAGUCAUUUAGCACAUCUGCAGCUUUCAUAUGUCUGAUGUAUAUCUAUGUGUGCAUUGGGACUCAUCCCUAAUGAAGUGACCUUUUUUGUGGAAGAUGUCUUGCAUAUUUUCUUUGUCACAGAUGUUUAUCAGUUUGUCCUGACAAAAUGAUGAGUAACGAUUAGUUGAAACAAUCUGGCCGCUAGCUUUGAUGUUGGUUCUGCCAUGCAUGUGCUCUGCACAAAUGGAGAACAGCCUUCAUGCAAAUAGAAGGUAUGUUGACCUGGCCCUGGUAACGCAGGCAAGGGCCUGAAUGGAAUAUGAGAAGGAGGGUGGGUUGCAUCUUAAUUUUUAAUGGUGUUUUCACAAAUAAGAUUCUCUACAAAAUGUAUUUUGCCCCAAGUUGAGGUGUGUCUUUGUGGUUUCUUUAUAAUAAAAAAAUCCAAGCCUGAAAAUAGUAGCUUAAUCUUUUUUCCAUGCUAUCAUCUGGCCUUUUUCUGAUAUGGAGACUAGGGAGGGAACUGCUUAUUUUUAAAAAUUAAAGUAAUCCCUUUUUAAAGCCUAUAAACAAAAAUAGUUUUUAAAAGAGAGGUACAAUUUCUGCUAGUUUAAGAAGCGAUCAGCUCAUCUCUGAGUUUUUCUUUUCCUCAACAAUUAACUUUUCACAGUCUCCAAAGCAGGUUAACAAAUAACAGUUUUAAGUCACUUAGUUUCUCUGCUUUUCUUCAUGACUUUUUUUUUUUUUUUUUGCCGAAUGCACAGGCUUUGUAUAUUGUGUGUCCAUUCCUUUUAUGCGCUGUUACAUAAAUAAAUUAUUCCAUUGUUAAAAGUUAAGGUCAGUCACAGGUGACCAGAGGAUAUGAAACUUCUGUUUUAGCCAACUCUCUGGAAGAGGAUUUUGCAAUGCUUCUAAUGAUCCAAGAACUUGCUGAGCCAGAGACAAAUCCAGCCAAUAAUUGUGAUAACUAUGAAAAAUAUUCAUGAGAUGUACAAAUUAGGAGUAAGAUUUGCAUCCAUUUUGUAGAUGGGUAAGUUGAGGGUGGAGUAAGUGAUGUGUGCAUCCUGUGGGAAACAGAGAUAGAUUAGAACUUAAUCCUAACUGACUGUUAAGUUACCCCUGCUAUCCAUCCCAAAAUACUUAGUGCUUUGUAAACAUGCAGGCUAGUCUUUGAGAGUAAUAUGUCUCUUCUAUCAUUUUUAUGCCCAGUUAUAAAAAGAAAUGCAGCUACUUUUAAGACAUACAGGAUGAAAAUGAAAAACUAAUUUAACAAUUUGAAGUUCUGACUUGUGCUGGAAUGUGUAGAUACCUUAUUCAAAAACAGAAUAAAGUGGCGGUUGUACA